ACUCAUUUACAUUAAAUUUAUUAGUUUGUGGAAUAUAUUUAUACAAGUAUCGAUACGUGGUGUGAAAAUAAGUGUUAACGGAAUAAUUUAUUGCUAAAUGUGUAAUAUAAAAAUAUAAUAGAAAUAUGAUAUCGUAUUAGUGAAUGUGCGUCGUAAUAGAGUACAUCCUUUUUCGUCCUUAAAAGAUCCUAUUUUCUUUCUUCAACUUCAAACUAUCAGAGGAGAGGAGAGGGUCAAAACAAGGUUCAGCAAGUUGAAUUCUAAGAAGCUGAUAUCUAGACCACCAUCUAUUGAACGUGGAUGAAAACGGGGGCAACGAUUGGAAAAAGUCUGAUGUUUCACUACUUUCACAUUCUUCUAUAUGAGAUGGAAUUUCAUGUGGAAUUCACGAUGACUUUUCAUUGAGCCAUAUCACUAUCAAUAGUACAUUUCUUCGUAUCUAAUGAUUAUCUGGAAGAAGAUCAUUUGAUUUGAUUUGGAGAUCACUUGAAGAUUAAAAAUGGAGGAUUAAGAUCAUCUCAAGAUCAAGAUCCAUUUGAAGAUAUUACGAUAAUGAAUUUAUUAAAACAUCUAAAUUAAUUUCCUUACAAUAAUUAAUUGAUGGAUAUUACAAUCAUAAUUUAUCCUCAUUCUCAUCAAAGCGUCUAAUCAUUUUAAAUGGUAGGAGUGAAAGUGACAACGAGGAGAAUAACUCGACGUAUAAUCAGCCGUGUACGAAUACAAGCAGUGGUAUAAGUAAUCCAAUAAUCGUGGAACGAAGCCGACCAGCUAUCUAAGAAGCUUAAUUUUUACACGAGGGUGCUUCCAUCGUGGUAACCAUCGUUUAGUUUUUUUUUUUACGUAUGUAUGUUUAAUUAAGAGCUAACAUUGUAAAUCGUAUCGUUUGUUUGUUAUUGGGAUAUAUGUGGGUUUAUAGAUAAUAAAUAUCUAUUUACACGUGAUUAGUUUUACGAUACGAUUGGGAUAAUGCCAUUUUUGAAGAAAAAUAAACUUUAGAGUU
Apis laboriosa (Himalayan honeybee) is the source of this 1000-nucleotide long non-coding RNA. RefSeq lists it as uncharacterized. NCBI's taxonomy places the organism in Eukaryota, Metazoa, Arthropoda, Insecta, Hymenoptera, Apidae. The transcript has 6 exons. The record is from RefSeq and is a predicted model, not a curated record.